RNAcentral lists this long non-coding RNA (277 nucleotides) under Trifolium pratense (red clover). RNAcentral describes it as "long non-coding RNA (TPRA_LNC012533)". Lineage: Eukaryota; Viridiplantae; Streptophyta; Magnoliopsida; Fabales; Fabaceae. The record is from RNAcentral.
CGACCUUGUUGGUCGCCGACGGUGGUCGUUAGUUUGGUAGCCAACUCUCCUCUCGCAAAACUCAUUCAGAUCACGUUAAUCGUAGGUGGUGAACUCCCUGGACGUAGAAGGAGAUCAAAUUUGUCUCUUUGAUUCAAAGUUUGGUUGGAAGUUGGAACUAAUUUAUUUUGGUUUCAUUUGUGCUUAUCUGGGUUUUGUUGCCAUUGAAAGAGAUGGAAACAGUGGUCUGCAAAACCAUCUUAGUUGUUAUUAUUUUUUAAUUAUUUUGAUGUGUUGG